Molecule: ribosomal RNA, 301 nt
Filed under: uncultured archaeon
Lineage: Archaea
Description: bacterial SSU rRNA
Rfam family: Archaeal small subunit ribosomal RNA
Source: RNAcentral
ACGGGGCGCAGCAGGCGCGAAAACUUUACAAUGCAGGAAACUGUGAUAAGGGAACCCCGAGUGCCCGUAUACGCGGGCUGUCCAGGUGUUUAAAACGCACCUGAAGAAAGGGCCGGGCAAGACCGGUGCCAGCCGCCGCGGUAAUACCGGCGGCUCGAGUGGUGGCCACUUUUAUUGGGCUUAAAGCGUCCGUAGCUGGACUCUUAAGUCUCUUGGGAAAUCUCCUGGCUUAACCAGGAGGCGUCUAAGGGAUACUGGGAGUCUAGGGACCGGGAGAGGGGGGCGGUGUGCCGGGGGUGGG